AUUGAACGCUGGCGGCAUGCCUUACACAUGCAAGUCGAACGGCAGCACGGGUGCUUGCACCUGGUGGCGAGUGGCGAACGGGUGCGUAAUAUAUCGGAACGUACCUUAUUGUGGGGGAUAACGCAGCGAAAGCUGUGCUAAUACCGCAUAAUCCAAAAGGGGGAAAGCGGGGGACCGUCAGGCCUCGCGCAAUUAGAGCGGCCGAUACCUGAUUAGCUAGUUGGGGAGGUAAAGGCGCACCAAGGUAACGAUCAGUAGCUGGUCUGAGAGGACGAUCAGCCACACUGGGACUGAGACACGGCCCGGAAGCCUACGGGAGGCAGCAGUGGGGAAGUUUGGACAAUGGGUGCAACCCUGUUCCAGCAAUGCCGCGUGAGUGAAGAAGGCCUUCGGGUUGUAAAGCUCUUUUGUCAGGGAAGAAACAGCAGCUCUAACAAAGUUUGCGAAUGACGGUACCUGAAGAAUAAGCACCGGCUAACUACGUGCCAGCAGCCGCCGUAA
This 501-nucleotide ribosomal RNA is filed under the name uncultured bacterium. RNAcentral describes it as "partial 16S ribosomal RNA". It matches the Rfam family "Bacterial small subunit ribosomal RNA", at positions 30 to 523 of the family's 1533-position model. The record is from RNAcentral.